This 90-nucleotide transfer RNA is filed under the name Burkholderia multivorans. RNAcentral's name for it is "tRNA-Ser". Lineage: Bacteria; Pseudomonadati; Pseudomonadota; Betaproteobacteria; Burkholderiales; Burkholderiaceae. The record is from RNAcentral.
GGAGAGUAAACCAGACAGGGUUUGGGGCUGACUGCUAAUCAGUGCGUCUGGCGAAAGCUGGAUUCGGUUCGAGACCGAUGCUCUCCGCCA